AAUAAUCAAUUUCAAGGUUUCUUUUCUCGUGAGAAUCAACAAACAUAGCUUUACGUACGGUAACCAAAAAUAAUAUUUCACACACAAUAGCUUUGCAUAAAAAUAACUUCAACGCAAAAUUCAUAACACGAAGACAACAACAUGACCAUUUGCGAGGAAUAAUUUUCAGGCCAACACCUUAGUGCAAACACCAAUAUUAACAAAAUACAUCAACUACACUAAUCACUUAUUCAGCUACCCACAAAUCAUGCUAGCCCCUUCCCUUUCAUAUCCACUUCUGCACUUUCGUUGCCAUUCCUUAUUGUCACAUUUAAAGAAAUCUCAAUGUUUCGUUCCUUAGACACCACGUGACAAAGAGACUGGAACAUGCGAGAGAACUGCUGAACAUCUUCAAGUGCUGCAUGAUUAUUCGAGUUCGCGGUAACAUUACUUGACCCACUGCUUGAUUCUCCCUCAUCGACCCAUGCCCAAUAUUUACAAUUAGCACUGCAGCACUCGAACAAUCUUCCCUUGUUCUUUGUCUCCCUCUCGACCUCAAAGCACUUCACAAUUCCACAUUUACACAAGGGGCAUCGCCUUUUGUUUGGGCAAUCCGCAAACAAGUGACCUUUCCCUCUACAGCUAUGACAAAGUCUGGAGUUCUAUCCCGGCAUACUACACACAAACGACACACAGAUCACACUACAUUAAACAACAUUUUUAACAAAAUCCCCUUGCUCAGUGGAAUCAAGAUAUUCACAAAAAUCGAAUUUCAAACCAAACAUGAAUGUCAAGAACCAUAUCAAUAAUAACAUUAACAAACUUACACAUUCAACCCACUCUUUACAUGCCACCAGAAGAAAACAAAAGGGCUUCAACAUUAUACACUAUGUCUGAGAUUAUGCCUAUCAAAUUGACGGACGAGUCUAAAUUCUAUUAUUCAUGUGGUCACACAUCAAAGGCUUUUUCACAAUAUUGAACUCUAUUAUGCGUUACCUUACUGCUGGUAGGUAGAAACAUUUCUCUUCAGAUUUGUGAGAUUUUCACUUAUAAAUUAUAUUUAAAAAUUACACAAACCCUUCAAAUAAAUAUUUCUAACAGUUUACAAGUAGAUUUUAUUCCUAUUGAUUAUUAUUCACACAAAUUACGUACAUUCACCAUCUCCAAACAAUGGAAUGACUCGAGAUUGAAAGGCAUACUAAUGAAGUUCGAAACUUUGCAGUCCAGACUGCCAUAUGUUCAAAACUAGCCCAGAUUAUCAUAUAUUCGAACCUUGUAUGUAUUUGAAAUGGAGUUCGAAACUAUGCAGCCCAGUACGUCGGGUUCUUAGAAGAAGUAGGGCUGACAGUGAGAUUUUUCCUUUUCUUAAAACAUAAAUUACUUCCCCACAGUAAAAAGAAAUGCCCAAAUAUUCUACUUACAUAAUAUUGCUCAAGAUAUCGCCGGAGAAGAAGGCCUCAGGGACGGGCGAUUUUGCUCUAAUCUUGCGGCUAAAUAUUUUUUCCUCACAACCGUGCGCUUAACUUCGGGUGGAAAACAAAAUCAUGGAGAUGACCACAAUAUUUAUCAUCGUCUUCUCAAUAUGGUGGAGCGCAGCUGCAGAUCUCCUCGCAUCAGUUCGUUCAGUAGAGAGGGUUUUCUGCCUUGGGGCAACUGAGAAACUGAAGAAAUGUGAGCGUAAGCGGGUUUCUUCACUUUGGGCCGGUUCAAGACAUGUUACCCAUUAACCCAUUAAUAC
RNAcentral lists this long non-coding RNA (1717 nucleotides) under Olea europaea (common olive). RNAcentral describes it as "long non-coding RNA (OEUR_LNC013987)". The record is from RNAcentral. Lineage: Eukaryota; Viridiplantae; Streptophyta; Magnoliopsida; Lamiales; Oleaceae.